RNAcentral lists this ribosomal RNA (484 nucleotides) under uncultured bacterium. RNAcentral's name for it is "bacterial SSU rRNA". It matches the Rfam family "Bacterial small subunit ribosomal RNA", at positions 29 to 507 of the family's 1533-position model. The record is from RNAcentral.
AUUGAACGCUGGCGGCAUGCCUUACACAUGCAAGUCGAACGGCAGCACGGGAGCAAUCCUGGUGGCGAGUGGCGAACGGGUGAGUAAUAUAUCGGAACGUGCCCAGUAGUGGGGGAUAACCCGGCGAAAGCCGGACUAAUACCGCAUACGACCUACGGGUGAAAGCAGGGGAUCGCAAGACCUUGCGCUAUCGGAGCGGCCGAUAUCAGAUUAGCUUGUUGGUGGGGUAAAAGCCUACCAAGGCGACGAUCUGUAGCUGGUCUGAGAGGACGACCAGCCACACUGGGACUGAGACACGGCCCAGACUCCUACGGGAGGCAGCAGUGGGGAAUUUUGGACAAUGGGCGCAAGCCUGAUCCAGCCAUGCCGCGUGCGGGAAGAAGGCCUUCGGGUUGUAAACCGCUUUUGUCAGGGAAGAAACGGCUCGGGCUAAUACCUCGGGCUAAUGACGGUACCUGAAGAAUAAGCACCGGCUAACUACGUG